CCUACGGGAUGCAGCAGUGAGGAAUAUUGGUCAAUGGGCGCGAGCCUGAACCAGCCAAGUCGCGUGAGGGAUGACGGUCCUACGGAUUGUAAACCUCUUUUGCCGGGGAGCAAGCGUGCGUUCGUGAACGCGCGUCGAGAGUACCCGGAGAAAAAGCAUCGGCAAACUCCGUGCCAGCAGCCGCGGUAAUACGGAGGAUGCGAGCGUUAUCCGGAGUUAUUGGGUUUAAGGGGUGCGUAGGCGGGAUGCCAAGUCAGCGGUAAAAAUGCGGUGCUCAACGCCGUCGAGCCGUUGAAACUGGCGUUCUGGAGUGGGCGAGAAGUAUGCGGAAUGCGGGGUGUAGCGGUGAAAUGCAUAGAUAUCACGCAGAACUCCGAGUGCGAAGGCAGCAUACCGGCGCCCUACUGACGCUGAGGCACGAAAGCGUGGGUAUCGAACAGGAUUAGAUACCCGGGUGUC
Molecule: ribosomal RNA, 459 nt
Filed under: uncultured bacterium
Lineage: Bacteria
Description: partial 16S ribosomal RNA
Rfam family: Bacterial small subunit ribosomal RNA
Source: RNAcentral